AAAGCAAUGAUCUGUGUGUGUGACAGUCCUGACACAUCAAGAUGGUCCCUCUGCCAUGUCUGCUCUGUGUCCUUUAUCUUUAUACAAAAGCCUCCUAUGGAGAGAUUGUGAUGACGCAGACUCCAAAAUAUAUCUCAGUGUCUCCAGGAGAGAAUCCUCAGAUAAACUGUAAAUCAAGUUCUGAUGUUACUUACUCAGAUGGUGACAGUCUAAUAUAUUGGUUCCAAAAGAAAGCCGAUCAGCCUCCAAAACGUCUUUUCUAUCGGGCAACCAAACGCUCGUCUGGAGUCCCGGAGAGGUUCAGUGGCAGUAGAUCCGGAUCUCCGUAUGAUUAUUUUACUCUUACAAUCAGUGGAGCUCAACUGGAAGACGAAGCCGAGUAUUACUGUAUGCAGGGCAAGAGCUUCCCUUUCACACAGUGA
Non-coding RNA from Rana temporaria (common frog), 422 nucleotides. The record is from the annotation of a RefSeq genome assembly. NCBI's taxonomy places the organism in Eukaryota, Metazoa, Chordata, Amphibia, Anura, Ranidae.